AUGGCGGGUCGCGCUAUUUUGCUCAUCGUCCUCGUCCUGACAGCGCGCUCGUACGGGUGCACGGCGGCCUACGUAGGCGACGGCGGGUUUAGCGUGGAGUUCAUCCACCGGGACUCUGUCAAGUCGCCGCUCCACGACCGGUCGCUCACCCUGCACGACCGCGUGCUUGCCGCCGUGCGGCGUUCCACAGCGCGCCCGUACGCCGGCGGCGAUCCUAGCGGCGGCGUGGCCGAGAUCGUGUCCACUCCGUACGAGUACCUGAUGUACGUCAGAGUCGGCACGCCGCCCACCCGGAUGCUCGCCCUCGCUGACACCGGCAGCAACCUCGUGUGGUUCAAAUGCAGAAACGGAACCUCUAUCUCCGGCGCUCCGCCAGCCGCCGGGGGAGCGCCGGUGAGCCCCGUGUUCGACCUGUCCUCCUCGUCGUCCUACGGCCUUGUGGCCUGCCGGUUGCCCUCGUGCCAGGCGAUCUACGGCACGUCCUGCGACGCCAACUCAUUCUGCCAGUACCAGUCCUCCUACGGCGACGGCUCCACCACGUCCGGCAUCCUCUCCACCGAGACCUUCUACUUCGACGACGCUCCCGGCGGCUGUGUUGGAUGCCGCGAGCGUCCGCAGCUGCAUCUGUCCAGGGUCAACUUCGGCUGCGCCACGAAAGCGACCGGCAACACGUUCCAACUGGCCGGCUACGUCGGCCUCGGCGCCGGGAACGGCUCCCUCGUGAACCAGAUCGGCGCCUUGACGUCGCUCGGCCGGAGAUUCGCCUACUGUCUCGCGCCCUUCUACGUCAACGUCUCCUCCAUCCUCGACUUCGGCGCCCGCGCCACCGUGACGGAGCCGGGCGCGGUGACCACGCCGCUGAUCCCCUCGGCCAUGGACGCCUUCUACACUAUCUUGCUCACGUCCGUCAAGAUCGGGAGCUCGACCAUCGCGCCGCCGAAGCCGUACCCCGUCAUCGUCGACUCUGGCACGACGCUUACGUUCCUCGACAAGGCGCUGCUGGACCCGAUCGUGGAGGAGAUCAGUCGGAGCAUCAAGCUCCCGCGCAAGCAGUCGCCGGAGAAGCAGCUGGGUCUGUGCUACGACGUGGGCGUGGGCGGUGCGACGCAGGAUUGGAAGAAGCAUUUCCCGGAAGUGACGCUGGAGUUUGGCGGCGGCGCCGCAAUUACGCUGCAGGCGCGGAACGCGUUCGCGGAGCUGCCGGUGGGGACCGUGUGCUUGGCUAUGGCGCCGGUGACGGACGAUCGGUCGGUGACGAUAAUCGGGAACAUCGCGCAGCAGAACUUCCGGGUAGGCUUCGACCUGGACAAGGGCACCGUCACCUUCGCCGCUGCCGACUGCGCGAGCUCCUACCCCUCUCCUCCCGCCUCUGUCUCUUUGUAG
This 1383-nucleotide ribosomal RNA is filed under the name Triticum aestivum (bread wheat). RNAcentral's name for it is "partial small subunit ribosomal RNA". Lineage: Eukaryota; Viridiplantae; Streptophyta; Magnoliopsida; Poales; Poaceae. The record is from RNAcentral.